AUUAAAUGCUCAAGUAUUUGUUUUCAAGAAAAUAGAAGUUCUCCGGACUUAGCAAAGUGAAUAAUUAAGUUUUACAGAGUAGUGAAGCCGAGGUAGAACUAAGAAAAUCAUGUAAGACAAGACUAAGGACAUAGGUGCUAUACCAUAGGGUACAUGCAUUCCUUCCAAGGAGAAAUAGUUCAAGUACUAAUUAGCGUGCUACGCUAUUUAUUUUUCAAAGGAUAAAUUGCUCAAGGGCAAGUGAGGUCCAAGCGAAUAAUCAAAUUGAAGAAUAAGCAUAUCAGGUUGAACGUGUACGAGGAGGCGAAGGUGUUGGGACAAGACUUUUAAAUAAGUAGUUAGGUAACCCAAAGUAGCAUGUCUUCAUACGUGCUAUUUUGUCUUGGACUCUUCCGCUGCAAAUCUAGAAUUAUGUGCUAGAAAGCUAUGAACUUAGUCUUGAUACUCUGAACACGUUUUGACUAUGAACCCAUAUGCCUUUGAUACUAUUGAUUUAAGUGAUUUCAUCCUUUUA
Long non-coding RNA from Salvia hispanica, 514 nucleotides. RefSeq lists it as uncharacterized. NCBI's taxonomy places the organism in Eukaryota, Viridiplantae, Streptophyta, Magnoliopsida, Lamiales, Lamiaceae. The record is from RefSeq and is a predicted model, not a curated record.